GGGCCCGCGGCCUAUCAGCUUGUUGGUGAGGUUACGGCUCACCAAGGCGACGACGGGUAGCCGGCCUGAGAGGGUGACCGGCCACACUGGGACUGAGAUACGGCCCAGACUCCUACGGGAGGCAGCAGUGCGGAAUAUUGCACAAUGGGCGCAAGCCUGAUGCAGCGACGCCGCGUGAGGGAUGACGGCCUUCGGGUUGUAAACCUCUUUCGCCAGGGACGAAGCGCAAGUGACGGUACCUGGAGAAGAAGGACCGGCCAACUACGUGCCAGCAGCCACGGUAAUACGUAGGGUCCGAGCGUUGUCCGGAAUUACUGGGCGUAAAGAGCUCGUAGGUGGUUUGUCGCGUUGUUCGUGAAAACUCACAGCUUAACUGUGGGCGUGCGGGCGAUACGGGCAGACUGGAGUACUGCAGGGGAGACUGGAAUUCCUGGUGUAGCGCUGGAAUGCGCAGAUAUCAGGAGGAACACCGGUGGCGAAGGCGGGUCUCUGGGCAGUAACUGACGCUGAGGAGCGAAAGCGUGGGGAGCGAACAGGAUUAGAUACCCUGGUAGUCCACCCCGUAAACGGUGGGUACUAGGUGUGGGUUUCCUUCCUUGGGAUCCGUGCCGUACCUAACGCAUUAAGUACCCCGCCUGGGGAGUACGGCCGCAAGGCUAAAACUCAAAGAAAUUGACGGGGGCCCGCACAAGCGGCGGAGCAUGUGGAUUAAUUCGAUGCAACGCGAAGAACCUUACCUGGGUUUGACAUGCACAGGACGUAUCUAGAGAUAGGUAUUCCCUUGUGGCCUGUGUGCAGGUGGUGCAUGGCUGUCGUCAGCUCGUGUCGUGAGAUGUUGGGUUAAGUCCCGCAACGAGCGCAACCCUUGUCUCAUGUUGCCAGCACGUAAUGGUGGGGACUCGUGAGAGACUGCCGGGGUCAACUCGGAGGAAGGUGGGGAUGACGUCAAGUCAUCAUGCCCCUUAUGUCCAGGGCUUCACACAUGCUACAAUGGCCGGUACAAAGGGCUGCGAUGCCGUGAGGUGGAGCGAAUCCUUGUUAAAGCCGGUCUCAGUUCGGAUCGGGGUCUGCAAC
RNAcentral lists this ribosomal RNA (1074 nucleotides) under Mycolicibacterium sp. RNAcentral's name for it is "bacterial SSU rRNA". It matches the Rfam family "Bacterial small subunit ribosomal RNA", at positions 227 to 1311 of the family's 1533-position model. Lineage: Bacteria; Bacillati; Actinomycetota; Actinomycetes; Mycobacteriales; Mycobacteriaceae. The record is from RNAcentral.